GCAGAGUAGAAAUGUGUGCGUUAAGUGCCGGCUGGACGGGGAGUUGUCAGUAGGACGAAAAGUAAGAAUUACUUGCGGUACACAUUUUGCAUCCCGCUGC
Molecule: non-coding RNA, 100 nt
Filed under: uncultured Faecalimonas sp.
Lineage: Bacteria; Bacillati; Bacillota; Clostridia; Lachnospirales; Lachnospiraceae
Description: THF riboswitch
Rfam family: THF (Tetrahydrofolate) riboswitch aptamer
About the family: THF riboswitch presents a pseudoknot that joins P1-P2 and the loop of P3 and two THF binding.
Source: RNAcentral